CUGUAGCUCAGUGGUAGAGUGCUUGCCUAGAAGGCAUGAGACCCUGGGUUCAAUCCCUAGCAG
This 63-nucleotide transfer RNA is filed under the name Mesocricetus auratus (golden hamster). It matches the Rfam family "tRNA", at positions 5 to 66 of the family's 71-position model. Rfam says of the family: Transfer RNA (tRNA) molecules are approximately 80 nucleotides in length. Their secondary structure includes four short double-helical elements and three loops (D, anti-codon, and T loops). Lineage: Eukaryota; Metazoa; Chordata; Mammalia; Rodentia; Cricetidae. The record is from Rfam by way of RNAcentral.